CGAACGCUGGCGGCGUGCUUAACACAUGCAAGUCGAACGCGAAAGGGACUUCGGUCCUGAGUAAAGUGGCGCACGGGUGAGUAACGCGUAGAUAACCUGUCUUCAUGUCUGGAAUAAUACGCCGAAAGGGGUACUAAUACCGGAUAUUCUUGCUUUUCAUAAGUUAUGCAAGCAAAGGUGGCCUCUGCAUAUGCUACUGCAUGAAGAGGGGUCUGCGUACCAUUAGCUAGUAGGUGGGGUAAUGGCCUACCUAGGCGACGAUGGUUAGCGGGUCUGAGAGGAUGAUCCGCCACACUGGCACUGGAACACGGGCCAGACUCCUGCGGGAGGCAGCAGUGAGGAAUAUUGCGCAAUGGGGGAAACCCUGACGCAGCGACGCCGCGUGAGUGAGGAAAGGCCUUCGGGUCGUAAAGCUCUGUCAAGAGGAAAGAAGUGUACAAUGGCUAAUACCUGUUGUAUUUGACGGUACCUCUAAAGGAAGCACCGGCUAACUCCGUGCCAGCAGCAGC
RNAcentral lists this ribosomal RNA (509 nucleotides) under uncultured bacterium. RNAcentral describes it as "bacterial SSU rRNA". It matches the Rfam family "Bacterial small subunit ribosomal RNA", at positions 30 to 518 of the family's 1533-position model. The record is from RNAcentral.